RNAcentral lists this non-coding RNA (102 nucleotides) under Bacillus gobiensis. RNAcentral's name for it is "Guanine sequence". It matches the Rfam family "Purine riboswitch aptamer". Rfam says of the family: Riboswitches are metabolite binding domains within certain messenger RNAs that serve as precision sensors for their corresponding targets. The record is from Rfam by way of RNAcentral. Lineage: Bacteria; Bacillati; Bacillota; Bacilli; Caryophanales; Bacillaceae.
UCAUAAAAUUAAUAUUGUUUCUGUAUAUGAUCGGUAAUAUGGACUGAUCGUUUCUACCUAGUAACCGUAAAUGACUAGACUACAGAAAAGUUUGGAUAAAUG